RNAcentral lists this ribosomal RNA (253 nucleotides) under uncultured bacterium. RNAcentral describes it as "partial 16S ribosomal RNA". It matches the Rfam family "Bacterial small subunit ribosomal RNA", at positions 524 to 776 of the family's 1533-position model. The record is from RNAcentral.
UACGGAGGGGGCUAGCGUUGUUCGGAAUUACUGGGCGUAAAGCGCACGUAGGCGGACUGUUAAGUCGGGGGUGAAAUCCUGGGGCUCAACCUCAGAAUUGCCUCCGAUACUGGCAGUCUCGAGUGCGGGAGAGGUGAGUGGAAUUCCCAGUGUAGAGGUGAAAUUCGUAGAUAUUGGGAAGAACACCAGUGGCGAAAGCGCUCUACUGGGCCAUAACUGACACUGAGGGACGAAAGCUGGGGGAGCGAAAGGG